RNAcentral lists this ribosomal RNA (780 nucleotides) under Escherichia coli. RNAcentral describes it as "partial 23S ribosomal RNA". It matches the Rfam family "Bacterial large subunit ribosomal RNA", at positions 2159 to 2925 of the family's 2925-position model. Lineage: Bacteria; Pseudomonadati; Pseudomonadota; Gammaproteobacteria; Enterobacterales; Enterobacteriaceae. The record is from RNAcentral.
GAAGUGUGGACGCCAGUCUGCAUGGAGCCGACCUUGAAAUACCACCCUUUAAUGUUUGAUGUUCUAACGUUGACCCGUAAUCCGGGUUGCGGACAGUGUCUGGUGGGUAGUUUGACUGGGGCGGUCUCCUCCUAAAGAGUAACGGAGGAGCACGAAGGUUGGCUAAUCCUGGUCGGACAUCAGGAGGUUAGUGCAAUGGCAUAAGCCAGCUUGACUGCGAGCGUGACGGCGCGAGCAGGUGCGAAAGCAGGUCAUAGUGAUCCGGUGGUUCUGAAUGGAAGGGCCAUCGCUCAACGGAUAAAAGGUACUCCGGGGAUAACAGGCUGAUACCGCCCAAGAGUUCAUAUCGACGGCGGUGUUUGGCACCUCGAUGUCGGCUCAUCACAUCCUGGGGCUGAAGUAGGUCCCAAGGGUAUGGCUGUUCGCCAUUUAAAGUGGUACGCGAGCUGGGUUUAGAACGUCGUGAGACAGUUCGGUCCCUAUCUGCCGUGGGCGCUGGAGAACUGAGGGGGGCUGCUCCUAGUACGAGAGGACCGGAGUGGACGCAUCACUGGUGUUCGGGUUGUCAUGCCAAUGGCACUGCCCGGUAGCUAAAUGCGGAAGAGAUAAGUGCUGAAAGCAUCUAAGCACGAAACUUGCCCCGAGAUGAGUUCUCCCUGACUCCUUGAGAGUCCUGAAGGAACGUUGAAGACGACGACGUUGAUAGGCCGGGUGUGUAAGCGCAGCGAUGCGUUGAGCUAACCGGUACUAAUGAACCGUGAGGCUUAACCUUACAACGCC